CUGGUUGAUCCUGCCGGCGCACCCGCUAUUGGAGUCCGCUUAAGAAUGCGAGUCGUUGGGGGCAAGCCCCUCGGCGACUCUCAGUACACGCGGUAAUCUGCCUAAAGCGGGGAUAUCUCGGGAAAUGAGGUAUGCCCAUAGCCCACGGAUGCUGGACGCACCGUGGAUGAAAGCUCGGGCGCCUUUAGGAUGAGUCUGCGGCCUAUCAGGUUGUAGUGGGGUGUAACGGGACCCCCUAGCCUUUCGACGGGUACGGGCUUUGAGAAGAAGUUGCCCGGGAGAUGGGGUCCUGAGACACGAAACCCAGGCCCUACGGGCGCAGAAGUACGAAAAACUUGGCAAUGCGGGAAACCGCGACCAGGGGGACUCCAAAGGCUAAUACUUUGAAUAAGCUGUCCUUCUGUUCUAAAAAACAGGAGGAGGUAAGGCCUGGUAAAGAGGGUGCCAGCCGCCGGGUA
Molecule: ribosomal RNA, 458 nt
Filed under: uncultured archaeon
Lineage: Archaea
Description: bacterial SSU rRNA
Rfam family: Archaeal small subunit ribosomal RNA
Source: RNAcentral